GUGGAUAUAGCUCAGUUGGUUAGAGCGUCGGAUUGUGGUUCCGAAGGUCGUCGGUUCGAACCCGAUUAUCCACCCCA
Molecule: transfer RNA, 77 nt
Filed under: Flavobacteriales bacterium
Lineage: Bacteria; Pseudomonadati; Bacteroidota; Flavobacteriia; Flavobacteriales
Description: tRNA-His
Rfam family: tRNA
About the family: Transfer RNA (tRNA) molecules are approximately 80 nucleotides in length. Their secondary structure includes four short double-helical elements and three loops (D, anti-codon, and T loops).
Source: RNAcentral